RNAcentral lists this ribosomal RNA (456 nucleotides) under uncultured Syntrophus sp. Its description in RNAcentral is "bacterial SSU rRNA". It matches the Rfam family "Bacterial small subunit ribosomal RNA", at positions 929 to 1382 of the family's 1533-position model. The record is from RNAcentral. Lineage: Bacteria; Pseudomonadati; Thermodesulfobacteriota; Syntrophia; Syntrophales; Syntrophaceae.
GCAGCGGAGCAUGUGGUUUAAUUCGAAGCAACGUCGAAGAACCUUACCAGAUCUUGACAUCCAAUUGACCUAUCUUUUAAUCGAGAUUUUGCCUUCGGUACAAUUGAGACAGGUGGUGCAUGGUUGUCGUCAGCUCGUGUCGUGAGAUGUUGGGUUAAGUCCCGCAACGAGCGCAACCCUUGUGUUUAGUUGCAAACAGGUAAUGCUGUGCACUCUAGACAGACUGCCGUGGACAACACGGAGGAAGGUGGGAUGACGUCAAGUCCUCAUGGCCUUUAUGUCCAGGGCUACACACGUGCUACAAUGGGUGGUACAAAGAGCCGCGAACUCGCGAGAGCAAGCAAAUCUCAAAAAACCAUCCUCAGUUCGGAUUGGAGUCUGCAACUCGACUCCAUGAAGCUGGAAUCGCUAGUAAUCGCGGAUCAGCAUGCCGCGGUGAAUACGUUCCCGGGCCUU